GUGGGGAAUAUUGGACAAUGGGCGCAAGCCUGAUCCAGCCAUGCCGCGUGCAGGAAGACGCAUCUAUGGUGUGUAAACUGCUUUUGUACGGGAAGAAACACUCCCUCGUGAGGGAGCUUGACGGUACCGUAAGAAUAAGGAUCGGCUAACUCCGUGCCAGCAGCCGCGGUAAUACGGAGGAUCCAAGCGUUAUCCGGAAUCAUUGGGUUUAAAGGGUCCGUAGGCGGUUUAAUAAGUCAGUGGUGAAAGCCCAUCGCUCAACGAUGGAACGGCCAUUGAUACUGUUAGACUUGAAUUACAAGGAAGUAACUAGAAUAUGUAGUGUAGCGGUGAAAUGCUUAGAUAUUACAUGGAAUACCAAUUGCGAAGGCAGGUUACUACUUGUGGAUUGACGCUGAUGGACGAAAGCGUGGGGAGCGAACAGGAUUAGAAACCCGUGUAGUCC
This 445-nucleotide ribosomal RNA is filed under the name uncultured bacterium. RNAcentral describes it as "partial 16S ribosomal RNA". It matches the Rfam family "Bacterial small subunit ribosomal RNA", at positions 354 to 796 of the family's 1533-position model. The record is from RNAcentral.